ACAAGGGGAACACAAAAUGUGUAUAUAUGUAUGUACUAAGCAUUAGCAUACGAAGAAAAGCAUAAGUUUUGCUAGCGUGUGGAGUCGUGCGCCAAGCUUUUGAGGUUAAAAAAUGGACUCCAAGCAAGAUACCAUAAUAAAUAAUUGGCACUUUCAAGAAAAAAAAAAAUACAACUGUUCUGCGUUAAAAUGCGCUAUAAACGCUCCUUUAUUGAAUCGUUAUUUUGUUUGAUACUUAAUUAAUAUCUUCGAGUUGUAUAGCAUAUGUUUAUAUUCACUUAAACAAUUAAUAGUUUUCCUGGUUAAUAUCAUUUAUAUUAUUACUUUUUUUUAAUAAUUAUUAGUCAAUAUGUUGGACUUUUAAAUAAAAAAUAAUAUGCUAUAAUUAC
This is a long non-coding RNA of Zeugodacus cucurbitae (melon fly), 389 nucleotides long. RefSeq lists it as uncharacterized. The transcript has 2 exons. The record is from RefSeq and is a predicted model, not a curated record. NCBI's taxonomy places the organism in Eukaryota, Metazoa, Arthropoda, Insecta, Diptera, Tephritidae.